This 253-nucleotide ribosomal RNA is filed under the name uncultured bacterium. Its description in RNAcentral is "partial 16S ribosomal RNA". It matches the Rfam family "Bacterial small subunit ribosomal RNA", at positions 524 to 776 of the family's 1533-position model. The record is from RNAcentral.
UACGUAGGGUGCAAGCGUUGUCCGGAAUUAUUGGGCGUAAAGAGCUCGUAGGCGGUUUGUCGCGUCUGCUGUGAAAACUCGGGGCUUAACCCCGGGCCUGCAGUGUGUACGGGCAGACUAGAGUGCGGUAGGGGAGACUGGAAUUCCUGGUGUAGCGGUGAAAUGCGCAGAUAUCAGGAAGAACACCCGUGGCUAAGGCGGCUCUCUAGUACGGUACUGACGCUGAGACGCGAAAGCGUGGGGAGCGAACAGG